Molecule: unclassified non-coding RNA, 440 nt
Filed under: uncultured fungus
Lineage: Eukaryota; Fungi
Description: partial contains small subunit ribosomal RNA, internal transcribed spacer 1, and 5.8S ribosomal RNA
Rfam family: Eukaryotic small subunit ribosomal RNA (bases 1-73)
Source: RNAcentral
UCAAACUUGGUCAUUUAGAGGAAGUAAAAGUCGUAACAAGGUUUCCGUAGGUGAACCUGCGGAAGGAUCAUUAACAAGUCUGCUGCGCCCCAUCGAUGCACCAUCGCAUGGGCGACGCCUGCUCCGUGUGCACGUUUGCUCUGCACACGACAUUUCUGCGAAUGCUCUGAUCACACAUUCUUGAACGGCAAACAACUUUUAACAAUGGAUCUCUAGGCUCCCUAAAAGUCGUAACAAGGUUUCCGUAGGUGAACCUGCGGAAGGAUCAUUAACAAGUCUGCUGCGCCCCAUCGAUGCACCAUCGCAUGGGCGACGCCUGCUCCGUGUGCACGUUUGCUCUGCACACGACAUUUCUGCGAAUGCUCUGAUCACACAUUCUUGAACGGCAAACAACUUUUAACAAUGGAUCUCUAGGCUCCCGCAUCGAUGAAGAACGCAGC